GACGAACGCUGGCGGCGUGCCUAAUACAUGCAAGUAGAACGCUGAAGAGAGGAGCUUGCUCUUCUUGGAUGAGUUGCGAACGGGUGAGUAACGCGUAGGUAACCUGCCUGGUAGCGGGGGAUAACUAUUGGAAACGAUAGCUAAUACCGCAUAAGAGUAGAUGUUGCAUGACAUUUGCUUAAAAGGUGCAAUUGCAUCACUACCAGAUGGACCUGCGUUGUAUUAGCUAGUUGGUGGGGUAACGGCUCACCAAGGCGACGAUACAUAGCCGACCUGAGAGGGUGAUCGGCCACACUGGGACUGAGACACGGCCCAGACUCCUACGGGAGGCAGCAGUAGGGAAUCUUCGGCAAUGGACGGAAGUCUGACCGAGCAACGCCGCGUGAGUGAAGAAGGUUUUCGGAUCGUAAAGCUCUGUUGUAAGAGAAGAACGAGUGUGAGAGUGGAAAGUUCACACUGUGACGGUAUCUUACCAGAAAGGGACGGCUAACUACGUGCUAGCAGCCGCGGUAAUACGUAGGUCCCGAGCGUUGUCCGGAUUUAUUGGGCGUAAAGCGAGCGCAGGCGGUUAGAUAAGUCUGAAGUUAAAGGCUGUGGCUUAACCAUAGUACGCUUUGGAAACUAUUUAACUUGAGUGCAAGGGGGGAGAGUGGAAUUCCAUGUGUAGCGGUGAAAUGCGUAGAUAUAUGGAGGAACACCGGUGGCGAAAGCGGCUCUCUGGCUUGUAACUGACGCUGAGGCUCGAAAGCGUGGGGAGCAAACAGG
This 765-nucleotide ribosomal RNA is filed under the name uncultured Streptococcus sp. Its description in RNAcentral is "bacterial SSU rRNA". It matches the Rfam family "Bacterial small subunit ribosomal RNA", at positions 28 to 776 of the family's 1533-position model. Lineage: Bacteria; Bacillati; Bacillota; Bacilli; Lactobacillales; Streptococcaceae. The record is from RNAcentral.